Molecule: non-coding RNA, 179 nt
Organism: Anaerolineaceae bacterium oral taxon 439
Lineage: Bacteria; Bacillati; Chloroflexota; Anaerolineae; Anaerolineales; Anaerolineaceae
Source: Rfam
GAAAAAGGUAGAGGCGCGCCGCAGGAUGAGUACCCGGAUUCGCUACGAUCCGCGAAUCAGGAUUCGGAGAAAGGAAUCGGCGCCGAAGGAAACGCGUUUUUUACGCGGGAUCGCGUUUUCUGGGCGGACGGAAUAAGAGACGUCCGACUGUCGCAGCAAUGCGGAGCGCUAUCGUUAAC